RNAcentral lists this ribosomal RNA (1367 nucleotides) under Micromonospora fulviviridis. Its description in RNAcentral is "bacterial SSU rRNA". It matches the Rfam family "Bacterial small subunit ribosomal RNA". The record is from RNAcentral. Lineage: Bacteria; Bacillati; Actinomycetota; Actinomycetes; Micromonosporales; Micromonosporaceae.
UGCAGUCGAGCGGAGAGGCCCUUCGGGGUACUCGAGCGGCGAACGGGUGAGUAACACGUGAGCAACCUGCCCUAGGCUUUGGGAUAACCCCGGGAAACCGGGGCUAAUACCGAAUAUGACCUUUCCUCGCAUGAGGUUUGGUGGAAAGUUUUUCGGCCUGGGAUGGGCUCGCGGCCUAUCAGCUUGUUGGUGGGGUGAUGGCCUACCAAGGCGACGACGGGUAGCCGGCCUGAGAGGGCGACCGGCCACACUGGGACUGAGACACGGCCCAGACUCCUACGGGAGGCAGCAGUGGGGAAUAUUGCACAAUGGGCGGAAGCCUGAUGCAGCGACGCCGCGUGAGGGAUGACGGCCUUCGGGUUGUAAACCUCUUUCAGCAGGGACGAAUCGUAAGUGACGGUACCUGCAGAAGAAGCGCCGGCCAACUACGUGCCAGCAGCCGCGGUAAGACGUAGGGCGCGAGCGUUGUCCGGAUUUAUUGGGCGUAAAGAGCUCGUAGGCGGCUUGUCGCGUCGACUGUGAAAACCCGCAGCUCAACUGCGGGCCUGCAGUCGAUACGGGCAGGCUAGAGUUCGGUAGGGGAGACUGGAAUUCCUGGUGUAGCGGUGAAAUGCGCAGAUAUCAGGAGGAACACCGGUGGCGAAGGCGGGUCUCUGGGCCGAUACUGACGCUGAGGAGCGAAAGCGUGGGGAGCGAACAGGAUUAGAUACCCUGGUAGUCCACGCUGUAAACGUUGGGCGCUAGGUGUGGGGGGCCUCUCCGGUUCCCUGUGCCGCAGCUAACGCAUUAAGCGCCCCGCCUGGGGAGUACGGCCGCAAGGCUAAAACUCAAAGGAAUUGACGGGGGCCCGCACAAGCGGCGGAGCAUGCGGAUUAAUUUGAUGCAACGCGAAGAACCUUACCUGGGUUUGACAUGGCCGCAAAACCGGCAGAGAUGUCGGGUCCUUCGGGGGCGGUCACAGGUGGUGCAUGGCUGUCGUCAGCUUGUGUCGUGAGAUGUUGGGUUAAGUCCCGCAACGAGCGCAACCCUCGUUCGAUGUUGCCAGCGCGUUAUGGCGGGGACUCAUUGAAGACUGCCGGGGUCAACUCGGAGGAAGGUGGGGAUGACGUCAAGUCAUCAUGCCCCUUAUGUCCAGGGCUUCACGCAUGCUACAAUGGCCGGUACAAUGGGCUGCGAUACCUUGAGGUGGAGCGAAUCCCAAAAAGCCGGUCUCAGUUCGGAUCGGGGUUUGCAACUCGACCCCGUGAAGUCGGAGUCGUUAGUAAUCGCAGAUCAGCAACGCUGCGGUGAAUACGUUCCCGGGCCUUGUACACACCGCCCGUCACGUCACGAAAGUCGGCAACACCCGAAGCCGGUGGCCCAACCCG